Molecule: long non-coding RNA, 1233 nt
Organism: Papilio polytes (common Mormon)
Lineage: Eukaryota; Metazoa; Arthropoda; Insecta; Lepidoptera; Papilionidae
Exons: 2
Source: RefSeq, a predicted model, not a curated record
CAUUGUCAAAUUUUUUUAUAUCCGUAAAAUAGAUUUAGAAUAUAUAUUUGUAUAGUUUUAUUAUCUUAUUUGUGAUAAAAUGUCAGACAGAUCGUGUUGCCGGUGAUCAUAUGUUCGGUGUUCAUGGACAAUGUGCUGUUGCUGUUGUUGCGGCUUUUGGGAGAAGGUCGUUAAUUGGUUAUACUGUAUCGGCUCAUAUUUGGGAUGCUUCCGAGUUCAGUGCAGAUGUCAGAAAUGCGACGACGAGGACGACAGCUUAAUUAUAUUGGCAACAUAUUAUGAUUCAUCCUUAAAGUUGGACAGCGAUGAUAAAGAUCAAUUGUUUCGUGAAGUCGGAUUUCAUUCCCCGUGGAGAAAGGACACAAAGAAAAUAUAAAGUAGUUGUGAUUGCCACAAAGCAACUAUUUCGCCCGGUUUUUAAAGGUCAAUAAAUUAAAUUUAUGAUUAUAUUAAUUUUCGUUUACUGUCAUAAAUUAUUAGGGUCGAUAUAAUUCGAAUUUAUGAAUUCUAAACUCAUGACAAAAUAUGUAAAAACACACGAAUUGAGAAUCUCUUUGAGGCAGUUGCCUGUAACGCUAUUCCAAGAAGACAGUAAUGCCUAGAGUCGUAAUUACGUUCCUUAGAAGCCUUUAGCCGAAUUAAUUUAGUGGCCAUUUAACCUAAAGCAAGGGUGAAUAUUUGUGGCGACAGAGUUCCACUAUCGGCAUCUUUUCAUGAUGCCGUCUCGAAGAGUUUAAAAACGAUUAUUUUGAUAGGCUGAGGCUUAAAUAAAAAGAUGGUCUUCAUCACCUUAUUUUGGGAGACAUGAGUAUGUGUUAAGACGGUGGAGAUUCGUUGGUACAACAUUUCAAAGACAACACUAAUGACAUAUCGCCUUUACCUUUUCUGUCCCAAAUUCUGUUUUGUUUGAUGACAUUUAUUGUUUUGACAAUGUCAAAAUUUUUGAUACACAUAAAACAGAUUUAGAAAAUGAUACAUUCCUACAGUUUUCUAUGGAUAUAUUUAUAAAUACGAGAUGUCUCGUAAAUCGCGGAGUCGAUGAUCGAAUGGUCGGUGUUUGAAGACAAUGUGUUUCUGUUGUUGUAACUUCUGGGAGAAGUGCGUGAAUUGGAUGUACUGUAUCGGUUACUGCUUGGGAUGUUUCCGCAUCUGCGGCUGCCAGAAAUGCGGCGACGACGACAAAAUCGACGACGAUAUUUUCGACAGAGAAUUAAAUUGCAGUAGUAUUAAUUA